GACGAACGCUGGCGGCGUGCUUAACACAUGCAAGUCGAACGGAAAGGCCCUGCUUUUGUGGGGUGCUCGAGUGGCGAACGGGUGAGUAACACGUGAGUAACCUGCCAUUGACUUUGGGAUAACUUCAGGAAACUGGGGCUAAUACCGGAUAGGAGCUCCUGCUGCAUGGUGGGGGUUGGAAAGUUUCGGCGGUUGGGGAUGGACUGGCGGCUUAUCAGCUUGUUGGUGGGGCAGUGGCUUACCAAGGCUUUGACGGGUAGCCGGCCUGAGAGGGUGACCGGCCACAUUGGGACGGAGAUACGGCCCAGACUCCUACGGGAGGCAGCAGUGGGGAAUAUUGCACAAUGGGCGGAAGCCUGAUGCAGCAACGCCGCGUGCGGGAUGACGGCCUUCGGUUUGUAAACCGCUUUCGCCUGUGACGAAGCGUGAGUGACGGUAAUGGGUAAAGAAGCACCGGCUAACUACGUG
Molecule: ribosomal RNA, 468 nt
Filed under: uncultured bacterium
Lineage: Bacteria
Description: partial 16S ribosomal RNA
Rfam family: Bacterial small subunit ribosomal RNA
Source: RNAcentral